AUUCAGGACUUUGUGUGGUUUACACAAUACCCCCUGUGCUGCUACUGAUGAGUCAACUGAGGUCACCGUGAACAAAGUAACCCCAAGUCAAACACCUCAGAGUAGGUGAUGGGUACAGCAAGAAGUGGAGUAAGAAAACUAAAGUCCUAAGUCUUAAUAGGGUCGUGUGCCUACAACACAUUUAAUUAUGAAUAUAUGGGAUGCAAGAAAACUUGCUGUUAGUUGUGUUUAAUAUGCAAAGUUUGUUCAGCAUGUGGCACAGCUGGAUGCUCAUUAUAUCUCCUAUUUUUAUUAAUUAUCUGCACAUUUUUCUUUUUGACACUGAGGAAUGAAACUCCAACUUGACUCACUGGCAGAGGUUUGCAACUUUAUAUGCAGUUAUUCAAAC
This is a long non-coding RNA of Oreochromis aureus, 388 nucleotides long. RefSeq lists it as uncharacterized. The record is from RefSeq and is a predicted model, not a curated record. NCBI's taxonomy places the organism in Eukaryota, Metazoa, Chordata, Actinopteri, Cichliformes, Cichlidae. The transcript is spliced from 3 exons.